GGGGGGUUGGCGCAGCUGGGAGCGCGUUUGACUGGCAGUCAAAAGGUCACGAGUUCGAUCCUCGUACUCUCCACCA
This 76-nucleotide transfer RNA is filed under the name Clostridiales bacterium. RNAcentral describes it as "tRNA-Ala". It matches the Rfam family "tRNA". Rfam says of the family: Transfer RNA (tRNA) molecules are approximately 80 nucleotides in length. Their secondary structure includes four short double-helical elements and three loops (D, anti-codon, and T loops). Lineage: Bacteria; Bacillati; Bacillota; Clostridia; Eubacteriales. The record is from RNAcentral. RNAcentral also lists the same sequence under 1 other name.